RNAcentral lists this ribosomal RNA (379 nucleotides) under uncultured eukaryote. Its description in RNAcentral is "partial 18S ribosomal RNA". It matches the Rfam family "Eukaryotic small subunit ribosomal RNA", at positions 592 to 975 of the family's 1831-position model. The record is from RNAcentral.
CAAUAGCGUAUAUUAAAGUUGUUGCAGUUAGAACGCUCGUAGUCGGAUUUCGGGGCGGGCCGACCGGUCUGCCGAUGGGUACGCACUGGUCGGCGCGUCCUUCCUUCCGGAGACCGUGCCUACUCUUAACUGAGCGGGGGCGGGAGACGGAUCGUUUACUUUGAAAAAAUCAGAGUGUUUCAAGCAGGCAGCUCGCUCUUGCAUGGAUUAGCAUGGGAUAAUGAAAUAGGACUUUGGUGCUAUUUUGUUGGUUUCGAACACCGAAGUAAUGAUUAACAGGGACAGUCAGGGGCACUCGUAUUCCGCCGAGAGAGGUGAAAUUCUCAGACCAGCGGAAGACGAACUACUGCGAANGNAUUUGCNAGGGAUGUUUNCACUG